RNAcentral lists this ribosomal RNA (500 nucleotides) under uncultured Glomeromycotina. RNAcentral describes it as "partial small subunit ribosomal RNA". It matches the Rfam family "Eukaryotic small subunit ribosomal RNA", at positions 591 to 1092 of the family's 1831-position model. Lineage: Eukaryota; Fungi; Glomeromycota. The record is from RNAcentral.
CCAAUAGCGUAUAUUAAAGUUGUUGCAGUUAAAAAGCUCGUAGUUGAAUUUCGGGGUUAGUAGGUUGGUCAUGCCUCUGGUAUGUACUGGUCUCACUGAUUCCUCCUUCCUGAUGAACCUUAAUGCCAUUAAUUUGGUGUUUUGGGGAAUUUGGACUGUUACUUUGAAAAAAUUAGAGUGUUUAAAGCAAGCUAACGCUUGAAUACAUUAGCAUGGAAUCAUGAAAUAGGACGUUCGAUCCUAUUUUGUUGGUUUCUAGGAUUGAAGUAAUGAUUAAUAGGGAUAGUUGGGGGCAUUAGUAUUCAAUUGUCAGAGGUGAAAUUCUUGGAUUUAUUGAAGACUAACUACUGCGAAAGCAUUUGCCAAGGAUGUUUUCAUUAAUCAAGAACGAAAGUUAGGGGAUCGAAGACGAUCAGAUACCGUCGUAGUCUUAACCAUAAACUAUGCCGACUAGGGAUCGGAUGAUGUUAAUUUUUUAAUGACUCAUUCGGCGCCUUACG